RNAcentral lists this ribosomal RNA (253 nucleotides) under uncultured bacterium. RNAcentral's name for it is "partial 16S ribosomal RNA". It matches the Rfam family "Bacterial small subunit ribosomal RNA", at positions 524 to 776 of the family's 1533-position model. The record is from RNAcentral.
UACGUAGGGCGCAAGCGUUGUCCGGAAUUAUUGGGCGUAAAGAGCUCGUAGGCGGUCUGUCGCGUCGGAUGUGAAAGCCCGGGGCUUAACCCCGGGUCUGCAUUCGAUACGGGCAGACUAGAGUGUGGUAGGGGAGAUCGGAAUUCCUGGUGUAGCGGUGAAAUGCGCAGAUAUCAGGAGGAACACCGGUGGCGAAGGCGGAUCUCUGGGCCAUUACUGACGCUGAGACGCGAAAGCGUGGGGAGCAAACAGG